CCUACGGGAGGCAGCAGUGGGGAAUAUUGGGCAAUGGAGGAAACUCUGACCCAGCGACGCCGCGUGCGGGAUGAAGGCCUUCGGGUUGUAAACCGCUUUCAGCAGGGAAUAAGCGCAAGUGAAGGUACCUGCAGAAGAAGCACCGGCUAACUAUGUGCCAGCAGCCGCGGUAAUACAUAGGGUGCAAGCGUUGUCCGGAAUUAUUGGGCGUAAAGAGCUCGUAGGUGGUUUGUUACGUCGGUUGUGAAAUUCAGGGGCUCAACCCCUGACUUGCAGCCGAUACGGGCAAGCUAGAGUUUGGUAGGGGAGACUGGAAUUCCUGGUGUAGCGGUGGAAUGCGCAGAUAUCAGGAGGAACACCGAUGGCGAAGGCAGGUCUCUGGGCCAAUACUGACACUGAGGAGCGAAAGCGUGGGGAGCGAACAGGAUUAGAUACCCUGGUAGUCCACGCCGUAAACGGUGGGCGCUAGUUGUGCGAACCUUCCACGGUUUGUGCGACGCAGCUAACGCAUUAAGCGCCCCGCCUGGGGAGUACGAUCGCAAGAUUAAAACUCAAAGGAAUUGACGG
This 567-nucleotide ribosomal RNA is filed under the name uncultured Actinomycetes bacterium. RNAcentral's name for it is "bacterial SSU rRNA". It matches the Rfam family "Bacterial small subunit ribosomal RNA", at positions 338 to 916 of the family's 1533-position model. Lineage: Bacteria; Bacillati; Actinomycetota; Actinomycetes. The record is from RNAcentral.